Long non-coding RNA from Homo sapiens (human), 1235 nucleotides. RefSeq lists it as uncharacterized. The record is from RefSeq and is a predicted model, not a curated record. NCBI's taxonomy places the organism in Eukaryota, Metazoa, Chordata, Mammalia, Primates, Hominidae. The transcript has 6 exons.
CAUUGUAGAGCAGCCAUUGAAUCAACACAGAGAGGCGGCAGCGUGCCUCUGACUCACCAGGAACCCAGCUCCUCACUGUUCCGCCUGCAAACAGACCUCAAAGCUCCUUGUUCCUUGCUUUGUGCUGCUGAACGCAAGUGGGACCCAGGGAAGGCCACAGAUGCUCUCUGGAAGUACAAUAGCUAUUUUCCUGGUCUGCAUCUGAGGUAGACACGGAAGGAUCAGAGGGACUCAGGGCAUUGCCCUCAGGGGAGUUCUUGGUGCUCAAUGCCUGCAUACCUCACUUAUGCCAUGAAGGUAUUCCUUAAAGGAAAUGAUAAAAAUAUCACUUUGAUGAGGAAUCGAAAAUUAACCAACUCGAUAAGUGGAAUACCCAGGAUUCCCCAAACGGACUGGCUUCAAGAAGGAAAAGAUGGGUGUUGGAAAAUUUAAUGGACUGAAGAAAUGGCAGCAUUUGUUUUUGAAUGAGAAUAAAAUAAGUACAGUCACAAGUAUUGCACAAAUGUUUCAUUUGUGAGCUUCUCUCCGUCCAGAUAAAGGUAACUUUUUGGGAAAUUCAUUUGUAAAGGAAUAAUUUCAUCUACUUUCCUACAUUGAGAUCAGUUUCCAGAAAUGAAGAUACCAUAAAAUUUAUUCUCUAAAACUAUGCCAUUGAAAACCAAAUUCUAAAAAUGUUCUCAGACUUCAAACUUUAUGAAAAUGAAAUAACAUUAUUUAGCUUACCUUUCUUAUUUUUUGAUAGCACCUAUGUUGGGCUAUGAUUAGACAUUAUCAAACUGUAAUGCAAAAACGGUACUGAAGUCUAUUUGAAGUCUAAGUAGAGCAAUGCUGAAAGCCAGGAUUGUACACACAUUUUGGAAGAGGUGAUUCUAGAUAUAAGAACCAUUUACAGUAGUAAUUCCAUCCAUGUUAGGAAGAGCCUAUGUUUAGGCUCGACUCCAAAAUUAAUCUGAAAAAAACCAACCACCCUCCUGGCAUAAGUGUUUAAGGCUGCAUUCUGUACAUCACAGUGAAAAAUACAGGGCCUGAAACAUGUUUUGGUACAGAAAAAAAGAUGUGAGGUUUCUGAUUCCAAGUCAAAGCAGUAAUGAAUUAUGAAAUAAAAAUAUAGCAAUAAUUGUUUUCCUUUUUCAAUGUUUUUAAAAUUUAAUAUAAAAUAGCAUAUGAAUAUUAUAUAUAUUUACAUUAUUACAUACCUAUUCCAUAAUUUAAUAAGAAUAAAGUGUUUGCUUCCA